UUUUAACUGCUCCGGUGUGGGUGUUUGCUCAGUGUGCUACCUUGUCUCCCGCGGGGCUGGCGUCCGUGUGUGUGUCGGCGUUCCAUGUGCUUUGAACCGUGUGGCGGUUGGCGUUGCUGAUUUCGCCAGGUCUUCUCCUCUCCGAAAAUUUGAGGCUGUCGGCUGGCUGCGGCUGUGUGGGACUGGAGGUCGUCUACGCUGUUGUUCGCUCUCUCCAGCAGCGUUAACUGCGGCCUGCUGCUCUCCCUCUCCUCCCCGGCGGAGACGCUGUGCCUGUGCUCUGUGCUCUGUGGUAGGUGGCCUGUAGCCAGGUUACGCCUGGUCAUUCACAUGGUAACCCACAUAAUUGUAAAUGCUAUUUUGUGUGCGCACUUCGUAGGCACGUUUUGGCCUGGCUGUGCGCUGCGGUGCUCCACUCUCCGGCGGUCAACGCUCUGGUGCACCGGGACUCUACUGCUGUCUUGUUUGGGCUUGUCUUGUAUUGCUGUGUAUGUUGCCUUGUCAAUUAGUUCUUCUAUUGUCUUGCAUGCCGCAUGUUUUGCACAGCCGCAUUUAUAUUGUUGGCUCCCACUGUGGCCGCAAUUACGCCACUGUUUGUUUUACCCUGUUUGUUAUCGCCAGUGACUACUAUAAGUGUCGUGCUGUGAUUGGCUGAUCUCCCGCACCAUUGUACGCGGGGACGAACUGCAAUUGGCCCACUUUUGGGUCAGUCCCAGUAAACCCUGAUUUAUUUUAUUUAUUUACUUGGUGUUGUAUAUUAUGAAUAUUGUGUUUUGAGUUUAUUAUAAUUUGCUCUGCUUUAUUUUUGUUUUCUUUCUUAAUGUUUUUUGUGUGCUUAUGUUUGGUUUGUGUGAGGUUUAAGUGUGUUUAAUUCAUUGUUUAUUCCUUUGGUUGUUUUGAGUUUUUUCUUUAUUGUAAUUGUUUUGAUUUCCUACGCAUACUGGUACUGGUGACCCUAAGUGAGAUUGUUGUAGUGGCCGUGUUACAGUAUUUGAAAAGACCUGUCACUGUUUGUAUUCUACCUUGUUAAUAUUGUGAAAAUAAAUCUAUUUUUAUAUUGAGUUCACGUCUGGUCUGGGUGCAUUACGAACCUGAAUUAAGUUCCUGGGGGUGAAAUUCCCCCAGGUGGCGUUGUCGAGCACCUUUAAA
Myripristis murdjan (pinecone soldierfish) is the source of this 1149-nucleotide long non-coding RNA. RefSeq lists it as uncharacterized. Lineage: Eukaryota; Metazoa; Chordata; Actinopteri; Holocentriformes; Holocentridae. The record is from RefSeq and is a predicted model, not a curated record. The transcript has 3 exons.